This is a long non-coding RNA of Astatotilapia calliptera (eastern happy), 2008 nucleotides long. Lineage: Eukaryota; Metazoa; Chordata; Actinopteri; Cichliformes; Cichlidae. The record is from Ensembl.
GUGACGGGAGGACAGGACAUUUUUUGUCCUCCCCUCUCGCAGAGCUGAAGGAACAUAAGCCCGUGUUAUGUUCUCCGAGGAUACAUGCCCAGCACUGUGACUCCAGACGACGCAGUUUCAAGGUGUAGCCCCUAUUGUGUACUGAAAUUAUACUUGACGAAAAAAGGAGGGGAGGGGAAGAAUGGUUUUAGAAGAAAAGCUUCCAUUUUCCAGUUUUUUUUUCUUCUUCUAUUUUUUUUUAAUAUAUAUCAAUUCCAACCUUUUUGGGGCUGUGCGUAAAAGGGAAAUCAAAGACGUUUUUUUAAUCUUUUAUUUUAUUUUCGUUUCUUUUUCUUUCUUUCUUUUUUAGUUUUGUGGCUCUAAAUUGUGCGUCCAGCCGUGAUGGGUGUGUGGGUAGUGCAGUGGGAGGUCAAAGGAGCUGCGUUAAUGGAGUAAAGUGGAGGCCGGUAUAGGCUUCAGCCCCAGUGCAGUGGAGUCCAGCUGAGGGUGAGCAUCGCCUGAGUCCCAUCUGUCAGCCAGACCGCUUUUAAUUAUUCUGUGUGGACUGAGGUCACCAUUUAGUUAAGAACGAAUUAUUAUUAUUAUUAUUAUUAUUAUUAUUAUUAUUAUUAUUAUUAUUAUUAUUAUUAUUAUUAUUAUUAUUAUUAGUGCACGUGCAGCUCACUGGUUAAACUCUUCAGUAUAAAUGGCCUGAGCGCAGAGAUGUGGUAAAUAAAAAGUGUGUGACCUCUAUCGUGAGUCAGCCAGCAGUCUAAACAACAAAGUCCGUGUUUUCCACACAACAAGCGUUAAAUAUUAUUAUUUCCCCCCUCAGAGCGUCUCCCAGCUCCAGGAUUGGGGCUCCGUGGCGAUUGAUUGGAUUAUAUGGCACCUUUUUCUUUUUUUCUCUUUUUUUUCUUCUCCCCACAACAGGAUGGGCUCCACACACACACAGAUCUCGACACAAGCAACUCUCACAGAACAGUUUGGAUCCGCUUUUGUAAAUAUUGUAUAACUUUAAAAAGUCAUCCCUCUUUUUUCUCGCUUUUUCUUCACUGGGGCACUUUUUCCCAUUUUCUUUCAUUUUUUUGUCCCCCUCCCCCCAAAAAACAAAAAAACAAAACAAAAAACAAAACAAAAAUCACACACGAGCAGGUUGAGCUUCAGAGUCCAUAGCCUAAACCCACCGCCUUGCACUUGUGUACCUUUUUUAAAUGGUUCGGACUUUUUUUCUUUUUGUUUCUUUCUCUCUUUUUUUGGUAACGCGUUAAUUUUGACGUCUAAAAAUGUCUGCUAUUUUUGUUUGUUUUUUAAAUUCCUCUGAACUUUUAUUUUGCAUUAUUAUUAUUUUUAUUUAUUUAUUUUUUUGGCUUAAUUCGCCUAGUAAGAGUUUGCUUUCGCCAUUUUGCGCCCGCUCUGAAAUAAAAACAGUGCUUUAAGAGUGAAUCCACAUAAAUAUAGCAGAGAAAUGUCCACAAAUAAACGAUCUAAGGGGAGGAUUACAAAACAAAAUUAAUGUGCGAAUAAUUUGUCCUCAAAACAUAUUUUAGUGGCGUUCCAAAUAUUGCAGCAUAUGAUCAAAAUUAUUAUUAUUUUACAAUAACCAUGCAGCCUUUUUGUUCGUCUGUUUUGCCUUUUUUAUGUAACGGGGGAAAAUUGCGCGUAGACAUUUUAUUUAAUGUUAUUUUUUUUAGUUUUGUUAAUGAGAUUGUAAUUUAUUCUGGGUGGCUUUUACAGAAGAGACAAAGGGUGAGAUAUAUAAGAAAUGAAGAGCCGAGAAGGCUUUUGUUUUGUAGGGGACGGGGUGACAGAAAGAGAGACCUAUUUUUCUUUCUUUUUUUGUAAUAGCGGGAUUGCCACAGCCUGGACCGUCACAGCUAAAUGUAUAUACAUGUUUUUCUCCGUGCAGUAGCUCGCCUUUUUGUUUUAUGCAAAGAGAGAAAUCCAGGGACUUUUUUCCCCUCUCAUGUGGAAACUGCUUUUCUUUUCUCCUCCUCUUCCUUCUCUGUGUUUCAUUUGCAGAAAAAAU